Molecule: long non-coding RNA, 1540 nt
Filed under: Homo sapiens (human)
Lineage: Eukaryota; Metazoa; Chordata; Mammalia; Primates; Hominidae
Description: non-protein coding LINC00958:14
Source: RNAcentral
GCCUGCUUCCAUAUCGUAAACUGCCUUGGAACCAAUUACCACUACCAGGGAGACAAACUAUUGCUUAGAGGAUGCUGACAGGAGCAGCAUGCCAAAAUUGGAAGAAGGAGAAAGUUUAAGCUCUCCUCACUAUGAGUUUUCAAGUAUAAAAGACUUUUUCUUCCACGAUUUUGAGAACAACUGAGGACUCUUGUGACCAGGACAACAGGGAAGCUUGCAGCAAGAUAGCUCCAGGUUGGAUUCAUGCUUCGCACCCCAAGGGCUGCCAGCCAGAGAGGAGGAGAAGCAAUCACUCCUGCAGUUUCUGAACACUACACAGACGCCAGGUAGCUUCUUCAGGAGAACAGCCCUCUGAGGAGGCAGGAAGAGGAGGCUUAUCUUUCAGCAGCCGGAGCUGCUGAGAUCUCUGGGCAGAUUAAGCUCUCUCUAAUGGAUGGGCUCCAGCCUGGCACAUUCAGUGGAGAGGGAUCCACUCAUCCAUCAUCAACAUAAUAUGGUCCUCCCUGCACUUCACAGUGUCCUCUUGCUAUUGAAAAGGCUUUUUUGCCUUCUCAAGUUUCUUUGUCAACAGUCUACAGGAAGAAGCUCAGGCCGCCACCGGCAGAGGUGAAUGCAAGCUCACGUUUUAUUUCUGACUGCUUAAUCAUUGCCUCGAUCACUGCUCAAGCUCUGCCUUUGUUUCCAAAGGUUACCUGUGGGAAAACUUCUUUUUCUAUGCUGAAAUUAAUAGGGAGGCAAAGAUGAGUCCACUGAUAAGCAGAGCCUUAAAACUCACAUAGAGAAACAACUUUGCUGGAGUGUGUGUGAGUGAACCACUAAGGAAUCAGAUAGUGUGAUGGCAGUUAUCAUUGCAGGUUAAGACAUUUCUACAAAUAUUUCGACAUCUCCAUAUACUCACUCCUUUCCCCCCUGAGUGGAGAGACUCAGCUACCAAGAGAGGAAGCUCAAAAAAAACAGAAGCUUCAAACAAACAACCAACCAAAAAAAAAAAAAAACUGUGGGUUCAUCAGAGGUGGUAGGGAAGACAAAAACAUGGGAGGAGCAGCUGGGCACGGUGGCUCAAGCCUGUAAUCCCAGCACUUUGCGAGGCUGAGGUGGGUGGAUCACCUGAGGUCAGGAGUUCGAGACCAGCCUGGCCAACAUGGUGAAACCCCAUCUCUACUAAAAAUACAAAAAAUUAGCCGGGCGUUGUGGUACGCACCUGUAAUCCCAGCUACUCCGGAGGCUGAGGCAGCAGAAUCGCUUGAACCCAGGAGGCAGAGGUUGCAACGAGCCAAGAUCGCACCAUUGCACUCCAGCCUGGGCAACAAGAGCGAAACUCCAUCUAAAAAAAACAAACAAGCAAACAAACAAAAAACACGGGAGGAGCAAUAAAAAGGAAUCCAUGCUUUGAUUUUUUUUUUUAGUGAGAGGAAGGGAAGGCUGCUGCCUCUCACUUCUCCCUGUUUUGUUGUUCUUUUAAGUAGCAUGUGUCACUCUGUAUAUAUCCUGUCCAUGUGUUUUCUUUUAUUAUUAUUUGUCCACUUGCCUAGAAUGAAAA